GGAGUUGGCCAGACAGUCGCCGCUGACGCGUUCGCAAGAGCCGCCAGGGGAGGAAAGUCCGGGCUCCAUAGGGCAGAGUGCCAGGUAACGCCUGGGCGGCGUAAGCCGACGGAAAGUGCAGCAGAGAGUAGACCGCCUAAGCCUUUCGGGGCCGGUAAGGGUGAAAGGGUGCGGUAAGAGCGCACCGCGCGCCUGGCAACAGUGCGUGGCAUGGUAAACCCCACUCGGAGCAAGACCAAAUAGGGACCCAACGGCGUGGCCCGCGCUGGGUCCGGGUAGGUUGCUUGAGCGCUG
RNAcentral lists this RNase P RNA (294 nucleotides) under Halomonas sp. RNAcentral's name for it is "partial RNase P RNA component class A". It matches the Rfam family "Bacterial RNase P class A", at positions 1 to 289 of the family's 367-position model. From Rfam's summary of the family: Ribonuclease P (RNase P) is a ubiquitous endoribonuclease, found in archaea, bacteria and eukarya as well as chloroplasts and mitochondria. The record is from RNAcentral. Lineage: Bacteria; Pseudomonadati; Pseudomonadota; Gammaproteobacteria; Oceanospirillales; Halomonadaceae.